RNAcentral lists this ribosomal RNA (878 nucleotides) under Simplicillium sp. Its description in RNAcentral is "SSU rRNA". It matches the Rfam family "Eukaryotic small subunit ribosomal RNA", at positions 46 to 933 of the family's 1831-position model. The record is from RNAcentral. Lineage: Eukaryota; Fungi; Ascomycota; Sordariomycetes; Hypocreales; Cordycipitaceae.
AGGUCGCAAGUCUAGUAUAAGCAAUUAUACAGCGAAACUGCGAAUGGCUCAUUAUAUAAGUUAUCGUUUAUUUGAUAGUACCUUACUACUUGGAUAACCGUGGUAAUUCUAGAGCUAAUACAUGCUAAAAAUCCCGACUUCGGAAGGGAUGUAUUUAUUAGAUUAAAAACCAAUGCCCUCUGGGCUCUCUGGUGAUUCAUGAUAACUUCUCGAAUCGCAUGGCCUUGCGCCGGCGAUGGUUCAUUCAAAUUUCUUCCCUAUCAACUUUCGAUGUUUGGGUAUUGGCCAAACAUGGUCGCAACGGGUAACGGAGGGUUAGGGCUCGACCCCGGAGAAGGAGCCUGAGAAACGGCUACUACAUCCAAGGAAGGCAGCAGGCGCGCAAAUUACCCAAUCCCGACACGGGGAGGUAGUGACAAUAAAUACUGAUACAGGGCUCUUUCGGGUCUUGUAAUUGGAAUGAGUACAAUUUAAAUCCCUUAACGAGGAACAAUUGGAGGGCAAGUCUGGUGCCAGCAGCCGCGGUAAUUCCAGCUCCAAUAGCGUAUAUUAAAGUUGUUGUGGUUAAAAAGCUCGUAGUUGAACCUUGGGCCUGGCUGGCCGGUCCGCCUCACCGCGUGUACUGGUCCGGCCGGGCCUUUCCCUCUGUGGAACCUCAUGCCCUUCACUGGGCGUGACGGGGAAAACAGGACUUUUACUGUGAAAAAAUUAGAGUGCUCCAGGCAGGCCUAUGCUCGAAUACAUUAGCAUGGAAUAAUGAAAUAGGACGUGCGGGUUCUAUUUUGUUGGUUUCUUAGGACCGCCGUAAUGAUUAAUAGGGACAGUCCGGGGGCAUCAGUAUUCAAUUUGUCGGAGGUGGAAAUCUUGGAUUUUUUGAA